RNAcentral lists this ribosomal RNA (490 nucleotides) under uncultured bacterium. RNAcentral describes it as "partial 16S ribosomal RNA". It matches the Rfam family "Bacterial small subunit ribosomal RNA", at positions 30 to 507 of the family's 1533-position model. The record is from RNAcentral.
AUUGAACGCUGGCGGCAGGCCUAACACAUGCAAGUCGAACGGUAACAGGAAACAGCUUGCUGUUUCGCUGACGAGUGGCGGACGGGUGAGUAAUGUCUGGGAAACUGCCUGAUGGAGGGGGAUAACUACUGGAAACGGUAGCUAAUACCGCAUAACGUCGCAAGACCAAAGAGGGGGACCUUCGGGCCUCUUGCCAUCGGAUGUGCCCAGAUGGGAUUAGCUAGUAGGUGGGGUAACGGCUCACCUAGGCGACGAUCCCUAGCUGGUCUGAGAGGAUGACCAGCCACACUGGAACUGAGACACGGUCCAGACUCCUACGGGAGGCAGCAGUGGGGAAUAUUGCACAAUGGGCGCAAGCCUGAUGCAGCCAUGCCGCGUGUAUGAAGAAGGCCUUCGGGUUGUAAAGUACUUUCAGCGGGGAGGAGGGGAGUAAAGUUAAUACCUUUACUCAUUGACGUUACCCGCAGAAGAAGCACCGGCUAACUCCGUG